Molecule: ribosomal RNA, 440 nt
Filed under: uncultured bacterium
Lineage: Bacteria
Description: partial 16S ribosomal RNA
Rfam family: Bacterial small subunit ribosomal RNA
Source: RNAcentral
CCUACGGGCGGCUGCAGUGGGGAAUAUUGGACAAUGGGGGAAACCCUUAUCCAGCGACGCCGCGUGAGGGAAGAAGGUUUUCGGAUUGUUAACCUCUGUCAGCGGGGACGUUACUGACUGUAUCCACGGAGGAAGCCACGGCUAACUACGUGCCAGCAACCGCGGUAUUACGUAGGGGGCAAGCGUUGUCCGGAAUUAAUGGGUGUAAAGGGAGCGUAGGCGGGAUGUCAAGGCAGAAGUGAAAAUUAUGGGCUCAACUCAUAACCUGCUUUUGAAACUGAUAUUCUUGAGUGAAGUAGAGGCAAGCGGAAUGCCUAGUGUAGCGGUGAAAUGCGUAGAUAUUAGGAGGAACACCAGUGGCGAAGGCGGCUUGCUGGGCUUUUACUGACGCUGAGGCUCGAAAGCGUGGGGAGCAAACAGGAUUAGAUACCCCAGUAGUC